AGCGAACGUUAGCGGCGCGCCUAACACAUGCAAGUCGCACGAGAAAGGGAGCAAUCCCCGGUACAGUGGCGCACGGGUGAGUAACACGUAGAUGACCUUCCCUGGAGUGGUGGAUAACCUGCCGAAAGGCGGGCUAAUACAGCAUGGGACCACAUGGUUUUGACCGAGUGGUGAAAGCGGGCCUCUGUUCACAAGCUCGCGCUCUGGGAUGGGUCUGCGUCCCAUCAGCUAGUUGGUGAGGUAAUGGCUCACUAAGGCAUCGACGGGUAGCUGGUCUGAGAGGAUGACCAGCCACACUGGAACUGAGACACGGUCCAGACUCCUACGGGAGGCAGCAGUGGGGAAUCUUGCGCAAUGGGCGAAAGCCUGACGCAGCGACGCCGCGUGGGUGAUGAAGGCC
RNAcentral lists this ribosomal RNA (400 nucleotides) under uncultured bacterium. RNAcentral's name for it is "bacterial SSU rRNA". It matches the Rfam family "Bacterial small subunit ribosomal RNA", at positions 29 to 416 of the family's 1533-position model. The record is from RNAcentral.